AUUGAACGCUGGCGGCAGGCCUAACACGUGCAAGUCGAACGGUAACAGGAAGAAGCUUGCUUCUUUGCUGACGAGUGGCGGACGGGUGAGUAAUGUCUGGGAAACUGCCUGAUGGAGGGGGAUAACUACUGGAAACGGUAGCUAAUACCGCAUAACGUCGCAAGACCAAAAAGGGGGACCUUCGGGCCUCUUGCCAUCGGAUGUGCCCAGAUGGGAUUAGCUAGUAGGUGGGGUAACGGCUCACCUAGGCGACGAUCCCUAGCUGGUCUGAGAGGAUGACCAGCCACACUGGAACUGAGACACGGUCCAGACUCCUACGGGAGGCAGCAGUGGGGAAAAUUGCACAAUGGGCGCAAGCCUGAUGCAGCCAUGCCGCGUGUAUGAAGAAGGCCUUCGGGUUGUAAAGUACUUUCAGCGGGGAGGAAGGGAGUAAAGUUAAUACCUUGGCUCAUUGACGUUACCCGCAGAAGAAGCACCGGCUAACUCCGUG
RNAcentral lists this ribosomal RNA (490 nucleotides) under uncultured bacterium. RNAcentral's name for it is "partial 16S ribosomal RNA". It matches the Rfam family "Bacterial small subunit ribosomal RNA", at positions 30 to 507 of the family's 1533-position model. The record is from RNAcentral.